AGAUUGAACGCUGGCGGCAGGCCUAACACAUGCAAGUCGAGCGGUAACAGAGAGUAGCUUGCUACUUUGCUGACGAGCGGCGGACGGGUGAGUAAUGCUUGGGAAACUGCCCAGUCGAGGGGGACAACCAUUGGAAACGAUGGCUAAUACCGCAUACGCCCUACGGGGGAAAGAAGGGGACUCUUCGGAGCCUUUCGCGAUUGGAUGUGCCCAAGUGGGAUUAGCUAGCUGGUGAGGUAAAGGCUCACCAAGGCAACGAUCCCUAGCUGGUUUGAGAGGAUGAUCAGCCACACUGGAACUGAGACACGGUCCAGACUCCUACGGGAGGCAGCAGUGGGGAAUAUUGCACAAUGGGCGCAAGCCUGAUGCAGCCAUGCCGCGUGUAUGAAGAAGGCCUUCGGGUUGUAAAGUACUUUCAGCGAGGAGGAAAGGUUAUCGUUUAAUAAACGGUAGCUGUGACGUUACUCGCAGAAGAAGGACCGGCUAACUCCGUGCCAGCAGCCGCGGUAAUACGGAGGGUCCGAGCGUUAAUCGGAAUUACUGGGCGUAAAGCGUACGCAGGCG
Molecule: ribosomal RNA, 564 nt
Filed under: uncultured bacterium
Lineage: Bacteria
Description: bacterial SSU rRNA
Rfam family: Bacterial small subunit ribosomal RNA
Source: RNAcentral